RNAcentral lists this ribosomal RNA (1147 nucleotides) under uncultured Campylobacterota bacterium. RNAcentral's name for it is "bacterial SSU rRNA". It matches the Rfam family "Bacterial small subunit ribosomal RNA", at positions 8 to 1154 of the family's 1533-position model. Lineage: Bacteria; Pseudomonadati; Campylobacterota. The record is from RNAcentral.
AGAGUUUGAUCCUGGCUCAGAGUGAACGCUGGCGGCGUGCCUAACACAUGCAAGUCGAACGAGAACGGUUCACGGAUUCCUUCGGGAUGAAGUGAAUGUCAGCUAAGUGGCGCACGGGUGAGUAAUAUAUAGGUAACAUGCCCCUUAGAGAGGGAUAACGGCUGGAAACGGCCGCUAAUACCUCAUACUCCUAUAUGACGAAAGUCGUAUAGGGAAACGGUGUAUUCCGCUAAGGGAUUGGCCUGUAUCGUAUCAGUUAGUUGGUGAGGUAAUGGCUCACCAAGACGAUGACGCGUAGCUGGUCUGAGAGGAUGAUCAGUCACACUGGAACUGAGACACGGUCCAGACUCCUACGGGAGGCAGCAGUGGGGAAUAUUGCACAAUGGGCGCAAGCCUGAUGCAGCAACGCCGCGUGGAGGAUGACGCACUUCGGUGUGUAAACUCCUUUUCUGUCGGAAGAUAAUGACGGUAUGACAGGAAUAAGCACCGGCUAACUCCGUGCCAGCAGCCGCGGUAAUACGGAGGGUGCAAGCGUUACUCGAAAUCACUGGGCGUAAAGGACGCGUAGGCGGGAUGGUAAGUCAGAUGUGAAAUCCCACAGCUUAACCGUGGAACUGCAUUUGAAACUGCCAACCUAGAGUUUGGGAGAGGCAGAUGGAAUUGGUGGUGUAGGGGUAAAAUCCGUAGAGAUCACCAGGAAUACCGAUGGCGAAGGCGAUCUGCUGGAACAAUACUGACGCUGAGGCGUGAAAGCGUGGGGAGCAAACAGGAUUAGAUACCCCGGUAGUCCACGCCCUAAACGAUGAAUGCUAGUUGUUGGGGUGCUCGUCAUCCCAGUAAUGCAGCUAACGCAAUAAGCAUUCCGCCUGGGGAGUACGGUCGCAAGAUUAAAACUCAAAGGAAUAGACGGGGACCCGCACAAGCGGUGGAGCAUGUGGUUUAAUUCGAAGAUACGCGAAGAACCUUACCAAGGCUUGACAUACACGAGAACGGGCCAGAAAUGGUCAACUCUUUGGACACUCGUGAACAGGUGGUGCAUGGUUGUCGUCAGCUCGUGUCGUGAGAUGUUGGGUUAAGUCCCGCAACGAGCGCAACCCUCGUUCUAUGUUGCCAGCGCGUAAUGGCGGGAACUCAUAGGAGACUGCCG